RNAcentral lists this ribosomal RNA (144 nucleotides) under Vigna umbellata (rice bean). RNAcentral's name for it is "partial large subunit ribosomal RNA". It matches the Rfam family "Eukaryotic large subunit ribosomal RNA", at positions 1 to 148 of the family's 3401-position model. Lineage: Eukaryota; Viridiplantae; Streptophyta; Magnoliopsida; Fabales; Fabaceae. The record is from RNAcentral.
ACCUCAGGUCAGGCGGGGCUACCCGCUGAGUUUAAGCAUCUCAAUCCGCGGGGAAAAGAAACUAACAAGGAUUCCUUAGUAACGGCGAGCGAACGCGGAACAGCCCACAAUGAUAAUCGUCGCCCCUGGCGUUCUGAAUUGUAG